UACGAAGGGGGCAAGCGUUGUUCGGAUUUACUGGGCGUAAAGGGCGCGUAGGCGGUUUAACAAGUUAGGCGUGAAAGUCCUGGGCUUAACCUAGGGACUGCGUUUGAUACUGUUAGGCUUGAAUGUGAGAGAGGAUGGCGGAAUUCCCAGUGUAGAGGUGAAAUUCGUAGAUAUUGGGAAGAACACCGGUGGCGAAGGCGGCCAUCUGGCUCAUGAUUGACGCUGAGGCGCGAAAGCGUGGGGAGCAAACAGG
RNAcentral lists this ribosomal RNA (253 nucleotides) under uncultured bacterium. RNAcentral's name for it is "partial 16S ribosomal RNA". It matches the Rfam family "Bacterial small subunit ribosomal RNA", at positions 524 to 776 of the family's 1533-position model. The record is from RNAcentral.